CCGUGCUAGACGGGGAGGUAGCGGUUCCUUGUAACCUACAAUCCGCUGUAGUAGGGUUGAUGCUUAGCUGAGGACACCAUUUGUAGAGUCUGCGCCUAUUAAGUGAUGUUGAGAAUUGGGUCUUACGCAAUAGAUACUUGUGAACCUCGUCAGGUCCGGAAGGAAGCAGCGAUAAACUUGACCAUCUAUGUGCCGUAGGGUCGCCUAGUUUGAGUUAACUAAUAGGUUAACGUCUGUAGAUAUCUGUUCGAAGCUAAGUGCACGG
This 265-nucleotide signal recognition particle RNA is filed under the name Clostridiales bacterium 38-18. Its description in RNAcentral is "signal recognition particle sRNA large type". It matches the Rfam family "Bacterial large signal recognition particle RNA". Rfam says of the family: The signal recognition particle (SRP) is a universally conserved ribonucleoprotein involved in the co-translational targeting of proteins to membranes. Archaeal SRP consists of a 7S RNA and homologues of the eukaryotic SRP19 and SRP54 proteins. In most bacteria, the SRP consists of a 4.5S RNA and the Ffh protein (a homologue of the eukaryotic SRP54 protein). Lineage: Bacteria; Bacillati; Bacillota; Clostridia; Eubacteriales. The record is from RNAcentral.